RNAcentral lists this ribosomal RNA (377 nucleotides) under uncultured eukaryote. RNAcentral describes it as "partial 18S ribosomal RNA". It matches the Rfam family "Eukaryotic small subunit ribosomal RNA", at positions 592 to 976 of the family's 1831-position model. The record is from RNAcentral.
CAAUAGCGUAUAUUAAAGUUGUUGCAGUUAAAAAGCUCGUAGUUGGAUUUGUGGAGUGUGCUGUGGCGUCCAUUUGUUUGGUUCUGCCGUGGCCGUUCCAUCCUUGGGUGGAUUCUGUGUGGCAUUAGGUUGUCGUGCAGAGGAUGCCCAUCGUUUACUGUGAAAAAAUUAGAGUGUUCAAAGCAGGCUUAUGCCGUUGAAUAUAUUAGCAUGGAAUAAUAAGAUAGGUCUUGGGUCCUAUUUUGUUGGUUUGCGGGCCCUAGAAAUGAUUAAUAGGGACAGUUGGGGGUAUUCGUAUUCCAUUGUCAGAGGUGAAAUUCUUGGAUUUCUGGAAGACGAACUACUGCGAAAGCAUUUACCAAGGAUGUUUUCAUUAA